UAGUCGGAGGUGUGUCUCGGACGGUCGGUUCGCCGCUUGCCGGUGCUCAACUGGCCGGUCCGGACGUCCUGCCGGUGGGGCCGCGAGGCUCCGUUAUCCUUCUUUGGUCCUCUUCACCGAGUGCCUUGGUGGGCCGGCACGUUUACUUUGAACAAAUUAGAGUGCUCAAAGCAGGCCGUUGGUCGCCUGAAUACUGUGUGCAUGGAAUAAUGGAAUAGGACCUCGGUUCCAUUUUGUUGGUUUUCAGAACUCGAGGUAAUGAUUAAUAGGGACGGACGGGGGCAUUCGUAUUGCGACGUUAGAGGUGAAAUUCUUGGAUCGUCGCAAGACGAACCGAUGCGAAAGCAUUUGCCAAGAACGUUUUCGUUGAUCAAGAACGAAAGUUAGAGGUUCGAAGGCGAUCAGAUACCGCCCUAGUUCUAACCAUAAACGAUGCCAGCUAGCCAUCCGCCGAAGUUCCUUCUAUGACUCGGCGGGCAGCUUCCGGGAAACCAAAGCUCUUGGGUUCCGGGGGAAGUAU
This 520-nucleotide ribosomal RNA is filed under the name Diphlebia lestoides. RNAcentral describes it as "SSU rRNA". It matches the Rfam family "Eukaryotic small subunit ribosomal RNA", at positions 631 to 1126 of the family's 1831-position model. The record is from RNAcentral. Lineage: Eukaryota; Metazoa; Arthropoda; Insecta; Odonata; Diphlebiidae.